CCUACGGGAGUUAGCAUCAGGGAAUCUUGCGCAAUGGGCGAAAGCCUGACGCAGCGACGCCGCGUGAGGGAUGAAGGCCUGCGGGUCGUAAACCUCUGUCAGGAGGGACGAAGACAGUGACGGUACCUCCUGAGGAAGCCCCGGCUAAUUACGUGCCAGCAGCCGCGGUAAGACGUAAGGGGCCAGCGUUGUCCGGAAUUACUGGGCGUAAAGAGCACGUAGGUGGCCUAGCAAGCGGCGGGUGAAAGCCCGCGGCUCAACUGCGGAGCGGCUCGCCGAACUGCUAGGCUCGAGCGCGGGAGAGGGCAGUGGAAUUCCUGGUGUAGCGGUGGAAUGCGUCAAUAUCAGGAAGAACACCGGUGGCGAAGGCUGCUGCCUGGAACGUUGCUGACGCUGAGGUGCGAAAGCUAGGGGAGCGAACGGGAUUAGAUACCCCUGUAGU
This 442-nucleotide ribosomal RNA is filed under the name uncultured bacterium. Its description in RNAcentral is "partial 16S ribosomal RNA". It matches the Rfam family "Bacterial small subunit ribosomal RNA", at positions 338 to 794 of the family's 1533-position model. The record is from RNAcentral.